RNAcentral lists this ribosomal RNA (216 nucleotides) under Glomeromycotina sp. Its description in RNAcentral is "partial small subunit ribosomal RNA". The stretch from base 40 to 216 matches the Rfam family "Eukaryotic small subunit ribosomal RNA", at positions 686 to 864 of the family's 1831-position model. Lineage: Eukaryota; Fungi; Glomeromycota. The record is from RNAcentral.
GGGUCAUUAGGUUGGUCGUGCCACCGGUACGUACUGGUCUCACUGAUUCCUCCUUCCUGAAGAACCGUAAUGCCAUUAAUUUGGUGUUGCGGGGAAACAGGACCGUUACUUUGAAAAAAUUAGAGUGUUUAAAGCAAGCUAACGCUUGAAUACAUUAGCAUUGAAUAAUGAAAUAGGACGAUCGAUCCUAUUUUGUUGGUUUCUAGGAUUGACGUA